CCUGAUGACCAUAGCGAGUUGGUCCCACCCCUUCCCAUCCCGAACAGGACCGUGAAACGACUUUGCGCCGAUGAUAGUGCUGCAACCAGUGU
RNAcentral lists this ribosomal RNA (92 nucleotides) under Neobacillus paridis. The record is from RNAcentral. Lineage: Bacteria; Bacillati; Bacillota; Bacilli; Caryophanales; Bacillaceae.